CCCUUAGAUGUCCUGGGCCGCACGCGCGCUACACUGAGUGUCUGAGAUACGAGUCUGCCUGGUCCAGCAAGGUCUAGGUAAUCGCUAAAAGACACAUCAUGCUUGGGAUAGAUUAUUGCAAAUAUUAAUCUUGAACGAGGAAUUCCUAGUAAGCGCAAGUCAACAGCUUGCGUUGAUUACGUCCCUGCCCUUUGUACACACCGCCCGUCGCUACUACUGAUUGGAUGUUUAAGCGAGGUUCUCGAACUGCUAGCGACUUAGCUUCGGUGAGGUCGCAGUGUGGGAAGUGAACCUAGCUUUGGUGUCUAGAGGAAGUAAAAGUCGUAACA
RNAcentral lists this ribosomal RNA (329 nucleotides) under uncultured eukaryote. Its description in RNAcentral is "partial 18S ribosomal RNA". It matches the Rfam family "Eukaryotic small subunit ribosomal RNA", at positions 1470 to 1796 of the family's 1831-position model. The record is from RNAcentral.